UUUUAGGCUUUCCUGGCAUCCCUAGUGGGUAACCAUGCUGAGAAUAUUUAGUCUUCCAACAUCGUUCUAUACAUUAACUUCCAACCAGCAGGAUGAGUAAUGGAAGAAAGAAAUCCAAAGACCAUCUGAGAAGACAGGAAGAAAGAUGAUGCACACAAGAGUUGGACAGUGAUGUGCCUCCUUCUACCCAAUUCAAGAUUGAGAUGAACAGUCAGAAAAGUGCAUCAAUCACCAAUGUACAGUGUCGUAAGAUUUCACAAACUCAACACACCUGACCUCAGCACAUAGACCAAGAACUUGGAGUAGACCCACUCUCACUUUGCAGUGACAAAAGACCCACUGUAAACAGCAUAAAGGAAAAGUACUUUUGCUAUUCUGUAUCAAGGGGUUCUGUCGUGGUCGCCUGCCCACCUACACUUCAGGAGUCUAACAGCAGAAGUGUGUGACAGUGGACUUGCUUCCCCUCAUAGCACAGAGUGAGGAAGGGACUGGGGACCUGCUGUAACCUCCAAAGGCCUGUCACCAGUGAUCUGCUUCUUCUUCUAGCUGGGCCUCAGCACCUAAAGUUUCCAGAGCAUCUGACAAUUAGCACUACCAGCUGUGGACCAAGCAGUCCUAACAGAGGCCUUCGGGGGACACUUCAGAUUCCAUUGGUCCCUGAACUGCAUGGCUAGAAAAUUACAUGCCGUGCACAUCUGCAGCGAGGAACACGAGGCAUUCUAGGGGAGAUUUAUUGCCUCCCUUCCCUCCUCCUUUUGGAAGGUUUCUGGAUGCCGUUCUCUGUGUAUAGCAUGUGCCUCCGGCUUAUCACUACGGAAGCCGCUCCUUUUGCCUCCAAAGCAGAAAACACGUACACAGAGAGAAGUACAGAGCAUUCAGCCUCUGCUGCAGGUCCACUCACCUUCUUGGCACAAGGGAGGCCAGGACAGGUGUGGGAAUUCCGAGCAGGGCCUCACCUGUGUUUCUGUCUCCGUGUCCACACAUGCUGAGCUUGUGCAAAGCAGUUGCCCUAAGUGGGGAAGGUGAGCAGUCUUCAAGAAGUGCAUCUUUGUUGUUUGCUGCCAUUGGCUCUUCCGGUCAGAGACGUUUUAUAAAGGCACAACAGACUGAUUGCUUGCUUGCUGUUAUUCACUGGCACGUUUUCCGCUUCUCUGC
Long non-coding RNA from Peromyscus eremicus (cactus mouse), 1155 nucleotides. RefSeq lists it as uncharacterized. The record is from RefSeq and is a predicted model, not a curated record. The transcript is spliced from 5 exons. NCBI's taxonomy places the organism in Eukaryota, Metazoa, Chordata, Mammalia, Rodentia, Cricetidae.